UACAUGUGGGGCAAGCGUUGUUCGGAAUUACUGGGCCUAAAGGGUGCGUAGGCGGUUUGUUAAGUCAGGGGUGAAAGUUUUCGGCCCAACCGGAAAAUUGCCUUUGAUACUGGCGAACUUGAGUGCGUGAGGGGUAACCGGAACGAGCAGUGUAGCGGUGAAAUGCGUAGAUAUUGCUCGGAAGGCCAACGGCGAAGGCAGGUUACUGGUACGCAACUGACGCUGAGACACGAAAGCGUGGGGAGCAAACAGG
This 253-nucleotide ribosomal RNA is filed under the name uncultured bacterium. Its description in RNAcentral is "partial 16S ribosomal RNA". It matches the Rfam family "Bacterial small subunit ribosomal RNA", at positions 524 to 776 of the family's 1533-position model. The record is from RNAcentral.